Molecule: long non-coding RNA, 398 nt
Organism: Papaver somniferum (opium poppy)
Lineage: Eukaryota; Viridiplantae; Streptophyta; Magnoliopsida; Ranunculales; Papaveraceae
Exons: 2
Source: RefSeq, a predicted model, not a curated record
GAUUAAUUAAUGGCUGACUGGCACGCAUAAUACAGAACCAAUCAAUUUGUAAUGGAAGGAAUAUUUGGUGACCCAAUGACACUCGUGCGUGCCUUGGUGCGUCAGAUGACGGAAACUUAAAUUUGAGAUCGUCAGCUUAAAUUUUCUGUGCAAGGUCCAUGCAUAGAAGCGCUAAGUACAAGUGAAGUCAUUUUGGAGCAGUUACGAUCAAUCUUUGUUGUCUCCUCUUAUCUUCUAUAUAGUGCCGAGUAUAUAUGUAGUCCAAUGUUUUUCCAUAAGUCAUUUUACAUAAGUUUCUCGAUGAACACAAAAUAUUUGGUGGUCUCAUAUUAACAUUUGCUAUGCGCAUAGAUUUACUCUUCUUUUCUAAGAUUGCCCGUUGUCAGAGAUUACUCGCA